RNAcentral lists this transfer RNA (74 nucleotides) under Candidatus Daviesbacteria bacterium RIFOXYD1_FULL_41_10. RNAcentral's name for it is "tRNA-Pro". It matches the Rfam family "tRNA". Rfam says of the family: Transfer RNA (tRNA) molecules are approximately 80 nucleotides in length. Their secondary structure includes four short double-helical elements and three loops (D, anti-codon, and T loops). Further hydrogen bonds mediate the characteristic L-shaped molecular structure. tRNAs have two regions of fundamental functional importance: the anti-codon, which is responsible for specific mRNA codon recognition, and the 3' end, to which the tRNAs corresponding amino acid is attached (by aminoacyl-tRNA synthetases). tRNAs cope with the degeneracy of the genetic code in two manners: having more than one tRNA (with a specific anti-codon) for a particular amino acid; and 'wobble' base-pairing, i.e. permitting non-standard base-pairing at the 3rd anti-codon position. Lineage: Bacteria; Candidatus Daviesiibacteriota. The record is from RNAcentral.
CGGGGUGUAGUAUAGUGGUAACACGCCGCGCUGGGGGUGCGGCAUCGGGAGUUCGAUUCUCCCCACCCCGACUA